This is a long non-coding RNA of Oncorhynchus keta (chum salmon), 925 nucleotides long. RefSeq lists it as uncharacterized. The record is from RefSeq and is a predicted model, not a curated record. The transcript has 3 exons. NCBI's taxonomy places the organism in Eukaryota, Metazoa, Chordata, Actinopteri, Salmoniformes, Salmonidae.
CUGUGGGUUGAGGUAUAAGAGAUGGACUGUGGGUUGAGGUAUAAGAGAUGGACUGUGGGUUGAGGUAUAAGAGGUAUAAGAGAUGGUCUGUGGGUUGAGGUAUAAGAGAUGGACUGUGGGUUGAGGUAUAAGAGAUGGACUGUGGGUUGAGGUAUAAGAGAUGGACUGUGGGUUGAGGUAUAAGAGAUGGACUGUGGGUUGAGGUAUAAGAGAUGGACUGUGGGUUGAGGUAUAAGAGAUGGACUGUGGGUUGAGGUAUAAGAGACGGACUGUGGGUUGAGGUAUAAGAGAUGGACUGUGGGUUGAGGUAUAAGAGAGGAACUGUGGGUUGAGGUAUAAGAGAGGAACUGUGGGUUGAGGUAUAAGAGAUGGACUGUGGGUUGAGGUAUAAGAGAUGGACUGUGGGUUGAGGUAUAAGAGAUGGACUGUGGGUUGAUGUUUAAGAGAGGAACUGUGGGUUGAGGUAUAAGAGAGGAACUGUGGGUUGAGGUAUAAGAGAGGAACUGUGGGUUGAGGUAUAAGAGAUGGACUGUGGGUUGAGGUAUAAGAUAUGGACUGUGGGUUGAGGUAUAAGAGAGGAACUGUGGGUUGAGGUAUAAGAGAGGAACUGUGGGUUGAGGUAUAAGAGAUGGACUGUGGGUUGAGGUAUAAGAGAUGGACUGUGGGUUGAGGUAUAAGAGAUGGACUGUGGGUUGAGGUAUAAGAGAUGGACUGUGGGUUGAGGUUUAAGAGAGGAACUCUGGGUUGAGGUAUAAGAGAUGGACUGUGGUUUGAGGUUUAAGAGAUGGACUGUGGGUUGAGGUAUAAGAGAGGAACUGUGGGUUGAGGUAUAAGAGAUGGACUGUGGGUUGAGGUAUAAGAGAUGGACUGUGGGUUGAGGUAUAAGAGAUGGACUGUGGGUUGAGGUAUAAGAGAUGGACUGUGG